CCGAAACCCCUUCUUCUUCUCCCUUUUUCUUUUCUUUUCUUUCCUAUGUUUUCUCUCCAAACCAGUCACGGCCAUAACCAGUUGGACCACCGCCGGAGUGCCAUUUCUGACACGCGCCGAAGCUGCAGCUUCCCUGACCGGCGAUGACGAAAACCCCAAAGCUUGGUGGCCAUCGGAGCAAGGACGCGCCUAUACAGCCACUCCGAAGUUUCACCGUCGAAACUUUGAGGUGACUUUCCGACCACCGUUCGGCGAGUGGGUGGUACCGUUGGAAUCAGCAUCGUGAGAGGAUCGUCGCCCACUAAGUCAUUCCGGUCAACUCACCAUUUUUCUCCAGCGAGAUUUUGGGUAUCUUCGCCCCUUUGGAAGCAUGUUCCGGCGACACCGGAGGUCAUUUGGGCGAAGGAGCUGUACUUUCGUGAUGUACUCAUCGGGAUGAUCGUUUUGAUAUAUGCCAUGCAUAUAUUCAUUGACGUUUCUGGUACCGCCACAAACCGCUAUUGUGCACCGCUUGGGAAAAACGUGAUAUUAAAAUCGGACUAAAUCAUUCUAAGAUCAUCGAUAAGCUUAGGAGCGUUGCUUUGGGCUCGGAUUAAAUUCCAAGGAGAUAUCUAAAGAGGAGCCUAGUGACGCGAACGUGGAAAUGAUGAAUUAUCGAUGGAGCCAAUGUGUUUAGCCUAUUUCUAUUUCGGGUCAUUAUCUUAUCUUUUGAGCAUUAUAUAUGUAUUCGACUUCGAAUCUAAUGAUCGGUAUAUCUGAAUGAGCUAUGAAAUAGUUAGAGAUGAGGAAUGGUGGAUGCUAAGUAUUAUUUUGAGUGUUUAUGACUUAUUAAAUUUAACUAUUUGGUGAUUACAUAACUGUGGGAAUAUUAUUGUUUUAUGUAUAAUGAUAAAUGAUCAUACUUUUAUUACUAAUAUUUUUCUAUCUAAUUAUAGGAGUUAUUUCAUUAUUUUAACUUAUAAUUAUAGUACGAUUUAAUAUAAAGUAA
This is a long non-coding RNA of Humulus lupulus (European hop), 988 nucleotides long. RefSeq lists it as uncharacterized. Lineage: Eukaryota; Viridiplantae; Streptophyta; Magnoliopsida; Rosales; Cannabaceae. The record is from RefSeq and is a predicted model, not a curated record. The transcript is spliced from 3 exons.